RNAcentral lists this ribosomal RNA (259 nucleotides) under uncultured bacterium. RNAcentral describes it as "partial 16S ribosomal RNA". The record is from RNAcentral.
CUGCUGCCUUCCGUAGGAGUUUGGGCCGUGUCUCAGUCCCAAUGUGGCCGUUCACCCUCUCAGGCCGGCUACUGAUCGUUGCCUUGGUAGGCCAUUACCCCACCAACUAGCUAAUCAGACGCGGAACCAUCGUAUACCACCAGAGUUUUUCACACCGCUUCAUGCGAAGCUGUGCGCUUAUGCGGUAUUAGCACCUAUUUCUAAGUGUUAUCCCCCAGUAUACGGCAGGUUUUCCACGCGUUACUCACCCGUCCGCCAA